UUCAGUACUUCAAGAAGCACCAGUGUAAGACUACCAGGUUGUGUCUUGCCAGACACUAUAUCUUCAGUACUUCAAGAAGCACCAGUGUAAGAUUACCAGGUUGUGUCUUGCCAGACACUAUAUCUUCAGUACUUCAAGAAGCACCAGUGUAAGACUACCAGGUUAUGUCUUGCCAGACACUGUAUCUUCAGUACUUCAAGAAGCAGCAGUGUAAGACUACCAGGUUGUAUCUUGCCAGACACUAUAUCUUCAGUACUUCAAGAAGCAGCAGUGUAAGACUACCAGGUUGUAUCUUGCCAGACACUAUAUCUUCAGUACUUAAAGAAAGGCAACACCUGUUAUUCUUGUGAAUUUGUAACUUGCCAAGUAUUGCUAAUUGAACAAUUUUGUUUUUAAUAUUGGGAAUUCUAUCUAAAUAUCCAUUGCAGUUAAUACAACAAUACAAGUUACUAAAACUGUAAUUAAUAAUUUUCAGAAAAAUCUAUUUAAUAAACACAAGAGAAAAUAAUAAUACAAGUGUUGUUGAGUGUAUCUGCAGUGUUCUAGUACAUA
Molecule: non-coding RNA, 552 nt
Organism: Cherax quadricarinatus
Lineage: Eukaryota; Metazoa; Arthropoda; Malacostraca; Decapoda; Parastacidae
Source: RefSeq, a predicted model, not a curated record